CAGCAAUGCGGGAGCGGCAGACGGGUGAGGAACACGUGGGAACAUACCCUUUGGUUCGGAAUAACUCAGGGAAACUUGAGCUAAUACCGGAUAAGUCGGCAACGAGAAAGAUUCAUCGCCGAAGGAUUGGCCCGCGUCCGAUUAGCUAGUUGGUGAGGUAAUGGCUCACCAAGGCGACGAUCGGUAGCUGGUCUGAGAGGAUGAUCAGCCACAUUGGGACUGAGACACGGCCCAAACUCCUACGGGAGGCAGCAGUGGGGAAUAUUGGACAAUGGGCGCAAGCCUGAUCCAGCCAUGCCGCGUGAGUGAUGACGGCCCUAGGG
This 323-nucleotide ribosomal RNA is filed under the name uncultured bacterium. RNAcentral describes it as "bacterial SSU rRNA". It matches the Rfam family "Bacterial small subunit ribosomal RNA", at positions 81 to 422 of the family's 1533-position model. The record is from RNAcentral.